GACGAACGCUGGCGGCGUGCCUAAUACAUGCAAGUAGAACGCUGAAGGAGGAGCUGGCUUCUCCGGAUGAGUUGCGAACGGGUGAGUAACGCGUAGGUAACCUGCCUGGUAGCGGGGGAUAACUAUUUGGAAAACGAUAGCUAAUACCGCAUAAUAGCAGUUAUUGCAUGAUAACUGUUUGAAAGGUGCAAUUGCACCACUACCAGAUGGACCUGCGUUGUAUUAGCUAGUUGGUGGGGUAACGGCUCACCAAGGCGACGAUACAUAGCCGACCUGAGAGGGUGAUCGGCCACACUGGGGACUGAGACACGGCCCAGACUCAUACGGGAGGCCAGCAGUAGGGAAUCUUCGGCAAUGGACGGAAGUUCUGGACCGAGCAACGCCGCGUGAGUGAAGAAGGUUUUCCGGAAUCGUUAAGAGCUUUUUUUUGAGAAGUGUGGAGAAGGUUUU
This 450-nucleotide ribosomal RNA is filed under the name Streptococcus sp. oral taxon F25. RNAcentral's name for it is "bacterial SSU rRNA". It matches the Rfam family "Bacterial small subunit ribosomal RNA", at positions 28 to 462 of the family's 1533-position model. Lineage: Bacteria; Bacillati; Bacillota; Bacilli; Lactobacillales; Streptococcaceae. The record is from RNAcentral.